Molecule: ribosomal RNA, 288 nt
Filed under: uncultured Bacteroidales bacterium
Lineage: Bacteria; Pseudomonadati; Bacteroidota; Bacteroidia; Bacteroidales
Description: partial 16S ribosomal RNA
Rfam family: Bacterial small subunit ribosomal RNA
Source: RNAcentral
AAGUCGAGGGGAAACGACAUCGAAAGCUUGCUUUGAUGGGCGUCGACCGGCGCACGGGUGAGUAACGCGUAUCCAACCUGCCCAUCACUUGGGGAUAACCUUGCGAAAGUAAGACUAAUACCCAAUGAUAUCUCUAGAAGACAUCUGAAGGAGAUUAAAGGAUUCCGGUAAAGGAUGGGGAUGCGUUCCAUUAGGUUGUUGGUGAGGUAACGGCUCACCAAGCCUUCGAUGGAUAGGGGUUCUGAGAGGAAGGUCCCCACAUUGGAACUGAGACACGGUCCAAACUCC